Aotus nancymaae (Ma's night monkey) is the source of this 1601-nucleotide long non-coding RNA. The record is from Ensembl. Lineage: Eukaryota; Metazoa; Chordata; Mammalia; Primates; Aotidae.
UUCUCCUGCCUCAGCCUCCUGAGUAGCUGGGAUUACAGGCGCCUGCCACCAUGCCUGACUAAUUUUUGUAUUUUUAGUAGAGAUAGGGUUUCACCAUGUUGACCAGACUGGUCUCAAACUCAUGACCUUAGGUGAUCUGCCCACCUCAGCCUCCCAAAGUGCUGGGAUUAUAUGUGUGAGCUACCAUGCCCGGCCUUUAGAUUGCUUUUGAAUGUCCUGGUUUUCUACAUGUUUUUUCCUUGUCAUAUUUUUAAGGAAUACAACAUUGUAAGACAUACUGCAUGUUUUUCUUGUAAUGGUUGUUUAUUUUGAAACAUCAUGAACUGUCUUGGCCUGAUAGGUUUGCAGAGGAAAUCAAAGAGGGAUCUGUGAAAAAGGCACUGUGGUAAGUUUGCUGUGUUCAGCUAACAUGUCUUUUUCUUUCUCCAGUUAACAAUUUAUGAAUAUUGACAUUUUUAAUGAUGUGGAAAUUUUCAGAAUUGUAAAUGUUUAUUUAUUUAAAACUGGUUGGAAUAUUGCUGUCUCAAAAGUGUUAAUAAAGCUAGUGGCCUAGCUGUAUAAACAUUCAUUUAUUCAAUAACUCUGACCUUUCUGAUCCUCGGUUCAGCCAACUCUAAAAUGGUUGCAAAGAUUACUAAAAAUAUAUGUUAGAUACUUCCAUAAAAUAGAAACUAAAAGGUAAAAUUUACUUUUAAAAAUCAGUAAUCCUAAUUCCUUACAGUUUAAUCUGGAAUUUACUAUUCUAUUUUCAGAGCUGCUAUACGACAUGCUGUCCUUUGCUGUUCCACUUGUAGCAGAAUUCAACGUUUUUCUAACAGGGUCUUAUCCUGGCACUGAGGGUGCUAGACUGGCGAUUUUGGCCGACUUAUUGGGUGGGUGGCUUCUUGGGGCCCACAUGAGCCAAUGGUAUCAUCCCCGCAGUGGAAGCUCCUUUCCUGGAUGCUCCUUGUCCAAGAAGAAGAGCAGAAACCACAUCCCUGAAAGGUAAUAUGUCUCGGUCCCUUGGCAUGGCCUUUCCAGCUCAUGGCUUCUGGGUGUGGGCUUCACCUUUUAUGGUCUCUGCGUCUCACAAGCUUGGCUUGUCUGCCCCUUGCUUUGAGGCUUUGACCCUCUUCGCCAGCCACUGUAGCUGAAAGGGGCAAUGUCUGUGAUGUCCUGUGAUUUCUCCUUAUUCUUGUAAAAGCGAGGUUCUGGCCAUUGCUCUUAGGUAAAAUACGAAAGGAUUGCUUUAAGGCGGGACUGUUACUUUUGGGGACACUCCUUAAUUCCCAAAAUCGAACCUCCUCAAUUCCUUGUUACUUGGCAUGGAAAGUGUAAUGAUUUGAGUUAGGAAGCCAGUAGUAGCGCCCUGAGAUCACACAUGGAAAGUUGGUUUGUAUUGUUUGCAGAAAUCACGAAGAGCAUACGCUGUUAGGUCCUAAUAGUCCUCAUUGGAGAGUUGUUCCUUUAUACGUACAAAUGAUUAAUUUUGAGACUUUGCACGUAUGUGCAGUGAACUGUUUUUACUCCUUGAGACCAUCCUCCACCAUUUCAUACCUCAAUAAAUCCUCUUUAUAUUAUGUCCUAUCUUUUGACUGUCACCUUCUGUCAGCCCCCAAUAG